ACUGCUGGGGCUUCAAAGAGCAUUGAGGUUGAAGUAGACAAACCACUGGACCUAGCUUUGGGUCAAAAGCUGGGUGGUGGUGUGGUCAUCACGGAGUAGAAGGUGGUGGGUAUGCUGCAAAAGCAGGGCUCAAGGUUGGCGACCAGGUCCUCCACACAAGCAGCUUCUUUAGGGAUGAACUUUGGCCUGCUGAUAAGCUUGGAUUUACCGAAACCGCUAUUCAGGCAAAGUCAGAUUCCGUCUACUUUGUUGUCAGCAAGCAAGCUCUUCUUUUGUUUUGCUUAUUAAUUUUACAUGCAAAAUUUGUAUUUGGAAUUUAACCCAUUCUGACUUUGAAAUUUACAAGAUAUUUUGGGCCAUAGCUUUGGUAGUGGUACAGAUUCUUUUGAAGAAUUGUUAUGGCAUUGUUUAAGUUUGUAUAGCAUAAAUUGGUGUUUGGACUGGCCUCACUUUCUGUUUGAAGCUGACGGCAGACCAUAAUGUUUCAGUAGAAUGUCCUGAAUUUAGCUGAUGGCAGACCAUAAUGUUUCAGUAGAAUGUCCUGAAUUUAUUAUCAAUCUGUUUUUCUGAA
This is a non-coding RNA of Coffea arabica (coffee), 571 nucleotides long. The record is from RefSeq and is a predicted model, not a curated record. NCBI's taxonomy places the organism in Eukaryota, Viridiplantae, Streptophyta, Magnoliopsida, Gentianales, Rubiaceae.